AACCGGCCAAACACGAGUCAAACUCGCGCACCGUGGGUUCCGUACUACAGAUAAAGUAAAACCGUAAGAAUCACUUCUGUUAACGAACCGCAAAACUAACUUUGUUUGUAGAGCAUAACAUAGGUACUUAUU
Maniola jurtina (meadow brown) is the source of this 132-nucleotide long non-coding RNA. RefSeq lists it as uncharacterized. The record is from RefSeq and is a predicted model, not a curated record. The transcript has 3 exons. NCBI's taxonomy places the organism in Eukaryota, Metazoa, Arthropoda, Insecta, Lepidoptera, Nymphalidae.